CUGGGCGUUAAGUUGCAGGGUAUAGACCCGAAACCCGGUGAUCUAGCCAUGGGCAGGUUGAAGGUUGGGUAACACUAACUGGAGGACCGAACCGACUAAUGUUGAAAAAUUAGCGGAUGACUUGUGGCUGGGGGUGAAAGGCCAAUCAAACCGGGAGAUAGCUGGUUCUCCCCGAAAGCUAUUUAGGUAGCGCCUCGUGAAUUCAUCUCCGGGGGUAGAGCACUGUUUCGGCAAGGGGGUCAUCCCGACUUACCAACCCGAUGCAAACUGCGAAUACCGGAGAAUGUUAUCACGGGAGACACACGGCGGGUGCUAACGUCCGUCGUGAAGAGGGAAACAACCCAGACCGCCAGCUAAGGUCCCAAAGUCAUGGUUAAGUGGGAAACGAUGUGGGAAGGCCCAGACAGCCAGGAUGUUGGCUUAGAAGCAGCCAUCAUUUAAAGAAAGCGUAAUAGCUCACUGGUCGAGUCGGCCUGCGCGGAAGAUGUAACGGGGCUAAACCAUGCACCGAAGCUGCGGCAGCGACACUAUGUGUUGUUGGGUAGGGGAGCGUUCUGUAAGCCUGUGAAGGUGGCCUGUGAGGGUUGCUGGAGGUAUCAGAAGUGCGAAUGCUGACAUAAGUAACGAUAAAGCGGGUGAAAAGCCCGCUCGCCGGAAGACCAAGGGUUCCUGUCCAACGUUAAUCGGGGCAGGGUGAGUCGACCCCUAAGGCGAGGCCGAAAGGCGUAGUCGAUGGGAAACAGGUUAAUAUUCCUGUACUUGGUGUUACUGCGAAGGGGGGACGGAGAAGGCUAUGUUGGCCGGGCGACGGUUGUCCCGGUUUAAGCGUGUAGGCUGGUUUUCCAGGCAAAUCCGGAAAACCAAGGCUGAGGCGUGAUGACGAGGCACUACGGUGCUGAAGCGACAAAUGCCCUGCUUCCAGGAAAAGCCUCUAAGCAUCAGGUAACAUCAAAUCGUACCCCAAACCGACACAGGUGGUCAGGUAGAGAAUACCAAGGCGCUUGAGAGAACUCGGGUGAAGGAACUAGGCAAAAUGGUGCCGUAACUUCGGGAGAAGGCACGCUGAUAUGUAGGUGAAGCGACUUGCUCGUGGAGCUGAAAUCAGUCGAAGAUACCAGCUGGCUGCAACUGUUUAUUAAAAACACAGCACUGUGCAAACACGAAAGUGGACGUAUACGGUGUGACGCCUGCCCGGUGCCGGAAGGUUAAUUGAUGGGGUUAGCGGUAACGCGAAGCUCUUGAUCGAAGCCCCGGUAAACGGCGGCCGUAACUAUAACGGUCCUAAGGUAGCGAAAUUCCUUGUCGGGUAAGUUCCGACCUGCACGAAUGGCGUAAUGAUGG
This 1341-nucleotide ribosomal RNA is filed under the name Escherichia coli. RNAcentral describes it as "partial 23S ribosomal RNA". It matches the Rfam family "Bacterial large subunit ribosomal RNA", at positions 688 to 2010 of the family's 2925-position model. Lineage: Bacteria; Pseudomonadati; Pseudomonadota; Gammaproteobacteria; Enterobacterales; Enterobacteriaceae. The record is from RNAcentral.